GACGAACGCUGGCGGCGUGCCUAAUACAUGCAAGUAGAACGCACAGUUUAUACCGUAGCUUGCUACACCAUAGACUGUGAGUUGCGAACGGGUGAGUAACGCGUAGGUAACCUGCCUGGUAGCGGGGGAUAACUAUUGGAAACGAUAGCUAAUACCGCAUAAUAUUAAUUAUUGCAUGAUAAUUAAUUGAAAGGUGCAAUUGCACCACUACCAGAUGGACCUGCGUUGUAUUAGCUAGUAGGUGAGGUAACGGCUCACCUAGGCGACGAUACAUAGCCGACCUGAGAGGGUGAUCGGCCACACUGGGACUGAGACACGGCCCAGACUCCUACGGGAGGCAGCAGUAGGGAAUCUUCGGCAAUGGACGAAAGUCUGACCGAGCAACGCCGCGUGAGUGAAGAAGGUUUUCGGAUCGUAAAGCUCUGUUGUAAGAGAAGAACGGGUGUGAGAGUGAAAAGUUCACACUGUGACAGUAUCUUACCAGAAAGGGACGGCUAACUACGUG
RNAcentral lists this ribosomal RNA (505 nucleotides) under uncultured bacterium. Its description in RNAcentral is "partial 16S ribosomal RNA". It matches the Rfam family "Bacterial small subunit ribosomal RNA", at positions 28 to 507 of the family's 1533-position model. The record is from RNAcentral.